GGGUCGGUUCGGCCGGGUUUCACACAGGUGUUGCAUGGCUGUCGUCAGCUCGUGUCGUGAGAUGUUGGGUUAAGUCCCGCAACGAGCGCAACCCUCAUCCUUAGUUACCAUCAGGUAAUGCUGGGGACUUUAAGGAAACUGCCAGUGAUAAACUGGAGGAAGGUGGGGAUGAUGUCAAGUCAUCAUGGCCCUUAUGGAGUGGGCUACACACGUGCUACAAUGGUGGCUACAAUGGGCUGCAAAGUCGCGAGGCUAAGCUAAUCCCUUAAAAGCCAUCUCAGUUCGGAUUGUACUCUGCAACUCGAGUGCAUGAAGUUGGAAUCGCUAGUAAUCGUGGAUCAGCACGCCACGGUGAAUACGUUCUCGGGUCUUGUACACACUGCCCGUCACGCCAUGG
RNAcentral lists this ribosomal RNA (397 nucleotides) under Wolbachia endosymbiont of Caloptilia semifascia. RNAcentral describes it as "bacterial SSU rRNA". It matches the Rfam family "Bacterial small subunit ribosomal RNA", at positions 1012 to 1407 of the family's 1533-position model. The record is from RNAcentral. RNAcentral also lists the same sequence under 2 other names. Lineage: Bacteria; Pseudomonadati; Pseudomonadota; Alphaproteobacteria; Rickettsiales; Anaplasmataceae.